GGGGAUAUUGCACAAUGGGGGGAACCCUGAUGCAGCGACGCCGCGUGAGGGAAGACGGUUUUCGGAUUGUAAACCUCUGUCUUUAGGGACGAAACAAAUGACGGUACCUAAAGAGGAAGCCACGGCUAACUACGUGCCAGCAGCCGCGGUAAUACGUAGGUGGCAAGCGUUGUCCGGAAUUACUGGGUGUAAAGGGAGCGUAGGCGGGAAUGCAAGUUGAAUGUUUAAACUAUGGGCUCAACCCAUAGUCGCGUUCAAAACUGCAUUUCUUGAGUGGAGUAGAGGCAGGCGGAAUUCCUAGUGUAGCGGUGAAAUGCGUAGAUAUUAGGAGGAACACCAGUGGCGAAGGCGGCCUGCUGGGCUUUAACUGACGCUGAGGCUCGAAAGCGUGGGUAGCAAACAGA
Molecule: ribosomal RNA, 404 nt
Filed under: uncultured bacterium
Lineage: Bacteria
Description: bacterial SSU rRNA
Rfam family: Bacterial small subunit ribosomal RNA
Source: RNAcentral